UGUGCCAGCAGCCGCGGUAAUACGUAGGGUGCAAGCGUUAUCCGGAAUUAUUGGGCGUAAAGAGCUCGUAGGCGGUCUGUCGCGUCUGCUGUGAAAACCGGAGGCUCAACCUCCGGCCUGCAGUGGGUACGGGCAGACUAGAGUGCGGUAGGGGAGAUUGGAAUUCCAGGUGUAGCGGUGGAAUGCGCAGAUAUCAGGAGGAACACCGAUGGCGAAGGCAGAUCUCUGGGCCGUAACUGACGCUGAGGAGCGAAAGCGUGGGGAGCGAACAGGAUUAGAUACCCUGGUAGUCCACGCCGUAAACGUUGGGAACUAGAUGUGGGGUCCAUUCCACGGAUUCUGUGUCGCAGCUAACGCAUUAAGUUCCCCGCCUGGGGAGUACGGCCGCAAGGCUAAAACUCAAAGGAAUUGACGGGGGCCCACACAAGCGGCGGAGCAUGCGGAUUAAUUCGAUGCAACGCGAAGAACCUUACCAAGGCUUGACAUAUACCGGAAACGGCUGGAAACAGUCGCCCCGCAAGGUCGGUAUACAGGUGGUGCAUGGUUGUCGUCAGCUCGUGUCGUGAGAUGUUGGGUUAAGUCCCGCAACGAGCGCAACCCUCGUUCUUUGUUGCCAGCACGUAAUGGUGGGAACUCAAAGGAGACUGCCGGGGUCAACUCGGAGGAAGGUGGGGAUGACGUCAAAUCAUCAUGCCCCUUAUGUCUUGGGCUUCACGCAUGCUACAAUGGCCGGUACAAAGGGCUGCAAUACCGUAAGGUGGAGCGAAUCCCAAAAAGCCGGUCUCAGUUCGGAUUGAGGUCUGCAACUCGACCUCAUGAAGUCGGAGUCGCUAGUAAUCGCAGAUCAGCAACGCUGCGGUGAAUACGUUCCCGGGCCUUGUACACACCGCCCGU
This 894-nucleotide ribosomal RNA is filed under the name uncultured bacterium. RNAcentral's name for it is "bacterial SSU rRNA". It matches the Rfam family "Bacterial small subunit ribosomal RNA", at positions 504 to 1397 of the family's 1533-position model. The record is from RNAcentral.